CAGCAGCCGCGGUAAUACGAGGGGGGCAAGCGUUGUUCGGAAUUAUUGGGCGUAAAGGGUGCGUAGGCGGUUUGGCAAGUUUGGUGUGAAAUCUUUGGGCUCAACUCGAAGUCUGCAUCGAAAACUGCCGGGCUUGAGUAUGGGAGAGGUGAGUGGAAUUUCCGGUGUAGCGGUGAAAUGCGUAGAUAUCGGAAGGAACACCUGUGGCGAAAGCGGCUCACUGGACCAUAACUGACGCUGAUGCACGAAAGCUAGGGGAGCAAACAGGAUUAGAUACCCCAGUAGUCCCUGUCUCUUAUAC
RNAcentral lists this ribosomal RNA (301 nucleotides) under uncultured bacterium. RNAcentral describes it as "partial 16S ribosomal RNA". It matches the Rfam family "Bacterial small subunit ribosomal RNA", at positions 509 to 807 of the family's 1533-position model. The record is from RNAcentral.